AGAUUAUGAUGUGGGCAUUCCCUUUGCAGAUCAUUGAACCUAUUCCAUGCUUCCUUCUGUGUUUCAUCGGGUUCUUGUUGAAUGUUAGCAAGCAUAUGUCUUAUUUC
Beta vulgaris subsp. vulgaris (sugar beet) is the source of this 107-nucleotide non-coding RNA. NCBI's taxonomy places the organism in Eukaryota, Viridiplantae, Streptophyta, Magnoliopsida, Caryophyllales, Amaranthaceae. The record is from Rfam.